This 253-nucleotide ribosomal RNA is filed under the name uncultured bacterium. RNAcentral describes it as "partial 16S ribosomal RNA". It matches the Rfam family "Bacterial small subunit ribosomal RNA", at positions 524 to 776 of the family's 1533-position model. The record is from RNAcentral.
UACGGGGGGGGCAAGCGUUGUUCGGAAUUACUGGGCGUAAAGGGCUCGUAGGCGGCCAACUAAGUCAGACGUGAAAUCCCUCGGCUUAACCGAGGAACUGCGUCCGAUACUGAGAGGCUUGAAUCCGGGAGAGGGAUGUGGAAUUCCAGGUGUAGCGGUGAAAUGCGUAGAUAUCUGGAGGAACACCGGUGGCGAAGGCGGCGACCUGGGUAGAUACUGACGCUGAGGUGCGAAAGCGUGGGGAGCAAACAGG